UGACCCUUGGCUGCAGCUCAGGCCAGAUGUCUGCAUGGCCCCAGAUCCAGUUCAGGCCACGCUGAUUGGCAUGGUAACAGUGGUGGCACACCCUUAGAUACCAACAUGACUGCAGGUGGCAUCUCAGACCCUGGACAUGUGUUUGGCCUUUUGGUAACAACACAGACUACAGACAUCAACACAGACCCCAGCUGUGUUCUAGGACUAUGGACUCAAAAUGAUAUCUGCAUUUUCCAAGAGUAUAAGACUUGAUCAGUUGCAGCUGUCCUAUGUCAGGGAACCCUGAGAAGAACACCAUAAACUGAGUGCAAGUGUACAGAGACUUGAGGUCAAGAUCAGCUACAAUUGUUCUUAUAACUGAGCUUUUUUUGUACAAAGAUUCAGAAACAAAAAGAAUGCUUAUAUUUCCCACCACUGAAGUUUUAUGACACUCAGGUGUUAAGUAAAUUCAUCUAAUUCUUGUUUA
This is a long non-coding RNA of Peromyscus eremicus (cactus mouse), 466 nucleotides long. RefSeq lists it as uncharacterized. The record is from RefSeq and is a predicted model, not a curated record. The transcript has 2 exons. Lineage: Eukaryota; Metazoa; Chordata; Mammalia; Rodentia; Cricetidae.